This 449-nucleotide ribosomal RNA is filed under the name uncultured bacterium. RNAcentral describes it as "bacterial SSU rRNA". It matches the Rfam family "Bacterial small subunit ribosomal RNA", at positions 29 to 524 of the family's 1533-position model. The record is from RNAcentral.
AACGAACGCUGGCGGCAGGCUUAAGACAUGCAAGUCGAGCGCACCCUUCGGGGUGAGCGGCGGACGGGUGAGUAACGCGUGGGAACGUGCCUUUCUCUAAGGAAUAGCCUCUGGAAACGGAGAGUAAUACCUUAUACGCCCUUCGGGGGAAAGAAUUUCGGGGAAGGAUCGGCCCGCGUUGGAUUAGGUAGUUGGUGGGGUAAUGGCCUACCAAGCCGACGAUCCAUAGCUGGUUUGAGAGGAUGAUCAGCCACACUGGGACUGAGACACGGCCCAGACUCCUACGGGAGGCAGCAGUGGGGAAUCUUAGACAAUGGGGGCAACCCUGAUCUAGCCAUGCCGCGUGAGUGACGAAGGCCCUAGGGUCGUAAAGCUCUUUCGCCAGGGAUGAUAAUGACAGUACCUGGUAAAGAACCCCGGCUAACUCCGUGCCCAGCAGCCGCGGUAAA